RNAcentral lists this transfer RNA (87 nucleotides) under Paenibacillus sp. EKM202P. Its description in RNAcentral is "tRNA-Thr". It matches the Rfam family "tRNA". From Rfam's summary of the family: Transfer RNA (tRNA) molecules are approximately 80 nucleotides in length. Their secondary structure includes four short double-helical elements and three loops (D, anti-codon, and T loops). RNAcentral also lists the same sequence under 3 other names. The record is from RNAcentral. Lineage: Bacteria; Bacillati; Bacillota; Bacilli; Caryophanales; Paenibacillaceae.
GCUGUAGGAGCUUUGUAAAACCCAUCAAAACUCUAUUUCAACGCACUCGUAAUGCGUAGGCCGGGGGUUCAAUUCCCUUCACCAGCA